RNAcentral lists this ribosomal RNA (253 nucleotides) under uncultured bacterium. Its description in RNAcentral is "partial 16S ribosomal RNA". It matches the Rfam family "Bacterial small subunit ribosomal RNA", at positions 524 to 776 of the family's 1533-position model. The record is from RNAcentral.
UACGUAGGGUGCGAGCGUUGUCCGGAAUUAUUGGGCGUAAAGGGCUCGUAGGCGGUUUGUCGCGUCGGGAGUGAAAACUCAGGGCUUAACCCUGAGCCUGCUUCCGAUACGGGCAGACUAGAGGUAUGCAGGGGAGAAUGGAAUUCCUGGUGUAGCGGUGAAAUGCGCAGAUAUCAGGAGGAACACCGGUGGCGAAGGCGGGUCUCUGGGCAGUAACUGACGCUGAGGAGCGAAAGCGUGGGGAGCAAACAGG